Molecule: RNA transcript, 2260 nt
Organism: Sus scrofa (pig)
Lineage: Eukaryota; Metazoa; Chordata; Mammalia; Artiodactyla; Suidae
Gene: DUS3L
Gene name: dihydrouridine synthase 3 like
Source: RefSeq, a predicted model, not a curated record
UCAUUUGGAGCGACGCGGGCAAGAGCACUUCCCCGGCACAACCAGGGGAGACACACGGGCGACCCGGAAGGCGACACUCCAAAGCGGGGGUGAAGGGGACCGAUGGCGGAGGGAGCGGCGGAGGCCCCAGCAGAGAGUGGUGGUGGUGGUGGUGGUGGCAACCCCGGAGCCGGCGAGCCAGAACGAGGGGUGACGCCCAUUAAAUCUCAAUACCUCACCACCAAGGAGCAAUUCCACGAAUUCUUGGAAGCCAAAGGACGGGAGGAGCCCAGCCAGGAAACCAAGGCAGGGGACCCUGAUGACAAUGACCUGGUUGAGCCUGAGGCCAAGCGUAUCCGACUGGAGGAUGGGCAGACAAAGGACGGGCAGACAGAGGAGGCAGCCGAGCAGAGGGAGGAGCCGCAGGUUCAGAAGAGGGCCCGGGGCCAGAACAAGAGCCGGCCUCAUGUGAAGCCCACCCACUAUGACAAGAACAGGCUCUGUCCCUCCCUGAUCCAGGAAUCAGCCUCUAAAUGUUUCUAUGGUGACCGCUGCCGCUUCCUGCAUGAUGUGAGCCUCUACCUGGAGACCAAGCCGGCUGACCUGGGACCCCGCUGUGUGCUCUUUGAGACCUUCGGCAGGUGCCCUUAUGGCGUGACCUGCCGCUUUGCUGGGGCGCAUCUGGGGCCCGAGGGCCAGAAUCUGGUGCAGGAGGGGUUGGUCCAGGCCCCAAACAUCCGCAACGGCCUGGACAAGGCCCUGCAGCAGCAACUGCGAAAGCGCAAGGUCUGCUUCGAGCGUUCGGAGCAGGCCCUGCGCCAACUAAGCAAGGGCCGGCUGCCAGGCCCUACCCCCACCGCUGCUGAGCCUGAGGUCACAGAGGCUGAUGGUGCCCCAGAGCAAGAUGGCUGUGAUGCCCAACAGGCCUCCCAUGGGCCACAACAGGCCCCUCCCAGUGGCCCUUUAAGGACAUGCGGGCCCCUGACAGAUGAGGAUGUAGUCAGGUUGCGGCCCUGUGAGAAGCGGCGGCUGGACAUCAGUGGGAAAUUGUACCUGGCCCCCCUCACCACGUGCGGGAACCUACCCUUUCGGCGGAUCUGUAAGCGCUUUGGGGCUGAUGUGACUUGCGGGGAGAUGGCCGUGUGCACCAACCUGCUGCAGGGCCAGACGUCCGAGUGGGCCCUGCUCAAACGCCACCCCUGUGAGGACGUCUUUGGUGUCCAGCUUGAGGGCGCCUUCCCCGACACCAUGACCAAGUGUGCAGAGCUGCUGAACCGCACCAUCGAGGUGGAUUUCGUGGACAUCAACGUCGGCUGCCCCAUCGAUCUCGUAUACAAGAAGGGCGGGGGCUGUGCCCUCAUGAACCGCUCGGCUAAGUUCCAGCAGAUCGUCCGAGGCAUGAACCAGGUGCUGGACGUGCCCCUGACCGUGAAGAUCCGCACAGGCGUCCAGGAGCGUGUGAAUCUGGCCCACCGGCUGCUGCCUGAGCUGCGGGACUGGGGGGCAGCUCUAGUCACGCCCGUCUCUCCCGGUCUCUCUGGAUCUCUUUCUCUCUGUCUCUGUCUGAUCCUCCACCUUCCCGAACCCUUCCUCCCUCCCUCCCCAUGCGGCUGCCUCUUCUCCAGCUCCAUGGCCGCUCUCGGGAGCAGCGCUACACCAAGCUGGCCGACUGGCAGUACAUCGAGCAGUGCGUGACAGCAGCCAGCCCCAUGCCCCUCUUCGGAAACGGGGACAUCUUGUCUUAUGAGGAUGCCAACCGAGCCAUGAAGACCGGUGUCGCUGGGAUCAUGAUUGCCCGCGGUGCCCUGCUGAAGCCGUGGCUCUUCACGGAGAUCAAGGAGCAGCGACACUGGGACAUCUCGUCCUCUGAGCGCCUGGACAUCCUGAGGGACUUCACACACUACGGCCUCGAGCACUGGGGCUCAGACACGCAGGGUGUGGAGAAGACGCGCCGCUUCCUGCUCGAGUGGCUCUCCUUCCUGUGCAGGUAUGUGCCCGUGGGCCUGCUGGAGCGGCUCCCACAGAGAAUCAAUGAGCGGCCGCCCUACUACAUGGGCCGCGACUACCUGGAGACGCUCAUGGCCAGCCAGAAGGCAGCCGACUGGAUCCGCAUCAGUGAGAUGCUGCUGGGACCCGUGCCACCCACCUUCGUUUUCCUGCCCAAGCACAAGGCUAAUGCCUACAAGUAGCCACGGGGGCGGGAGGGGGCGCCUGACCGCCCAGUGGCUCCCCCCCGACCUUCCUGGCACCUGAGAAGACAAUAAAUUUUAUUCUCGUAAAA